Molecule: ribosomal RNA, 495 nt
Filed under: uncultured bacterium
Lineage: Bacteria
Description: bacterial SSU rRNA
Rfam family: Bacterial small subunit ribosomal RNA
Source: RNAcentral
GGCUCAGGAUGAACGCUGGCGGCGUGCCUAACACAUGCAAGUCGAACGGAGAAUUACGCUGAUGAAGCUCGGCAGAUCUGUAAAUCUUAGUGGCGGACGGGUGAGUAACGCGUGGGCAACCUGCCUCAUACUGGGGGAUAACAGCUGGAAACGACUGUUAAUACCGCAUAAGCGCACGGUAUCGCAUGAUACAGUGUGAAAAACUCCGGUGGUAUGAGAUGGGCCCGCGUCAGAUUAGCCAGUUGGCAGGGUAACGGCCUACCAAGGCGACGAUCAGUAGCCGGCUUGAGAGAGUGACCGGCCACAUUGGGACUGAGACACGGCCCAAACUCCUACGGGAGGCAGCAGUGGGGAAUAUUGGACAAUGGGGGAAACCCUGAUCCAGCGACGCCCGCGUGAGUGAAGAAGUAUUUCGGUAUGUAAAGCUCUAUCAGCAGGGAAGAUAAUGACAGUACCUGACUAAGAAGCCCCGGCUAACUACGUGCCAGCAGCUGC